UAUAAUUUUAAUUUAUAAUUAAUUUUAAUUUAUAAAUUUAUAAUAAUAUAUAAAUUUUUGUUUAAAAUUUUAUUAAAUUAAUAAAUAACUAUUUUAAUAAUUAGAAUUAAUAAUUAAAGAAAUUUAUAAUUUGUAAUUUUUUGUUAAAAUAAAUUAAAAAAGUGCCAGCAAUAGCGGUUAAACUUUUUAUUUAAAAUUAAAUUUGUUAAUUAAUUAAUAAAUUGGUUUAAUUUACAUUUUUAAUUAUUUAAAAUUAAAAUUUUUGGUUAAAUAAAAAAUUUUAUUAAUAAAUAAUUAAAAUAUAAAUUAAUUUGAUUUUUAAUAAAAUUUAUUUAAAAAAUUAGGAUUAGAUACCCUAUUAUUUAAAUGUAAAUUAAUAUUUUAAUAAAGUAAAAUUUAAUAGUGAAAUAAAUAAAUUUGACAGUAUUUUAAUUUAUUCAGGGGAAUUUGUAGUGUAAAUUGAUAGUCCACGAUAAGAACAACUUUUAUUAAAAAAAUUUAUGUAUAUUCGUUUAAAAAUUUUCUUUUAAAAGUAAAUUUUUAAUUUUUUAAUAAAAAUUAAUUCAGAUAAAUAUAUAAUUUAUAUAAAAGAAUUUAUGAAUUACAAUAAAAUUUAUUUAUAAAUUUAAUAAUUUAAUUUAUUAAUAAAUUAGGAUUUGAUAGUAAAUUUAAUUAAUUUAUUAAAUUGAUUAGUUAAAAAUUAAAAUAUGUACAUAUUGCCCGUCAAUUUAAUUUAAAUAAAUUUUAAAAUUUAUUUAAAUUAUUUAAGUCGUAACAAAGUAAAAUUACUGGAAAGUGAUUUUAGAAUAUA
This 811-nucleotide non-coding RNA is filed under the name Figites sp. ZJUH 20220009. The record is from RNAcentral. Lineage: Eukaryota; Metazoa; Arthropoda; Insecta; Hymenoptera; Figitidae.